GGGCCUUUAGCUCAAUUGGUAGAGCGCCUGCUUUGCAAGCAGGAUGUUGUCGGUUCAAGUCCGGUAAGGUCCA
This 73-nucleotide transfer RNA is filed under the name Caudoviricetes sp. Its description in RNAcentral is "tRNA-Ala". It matches the Rfam family "tRNA". Rfam says of the family: Transfer RNA (tRNA) molecules are approximately 80 nucleotides in length. The record is from RNAcentral. Lineage: Duplodnaviria; Heunggongvirae; Uroviricota; Caudoviricetes.